ACCAAUCAAGGCAGGGAGUACUAAA
RNAcentral lists this unclassified non-coding RNA (25 nucleotides) under Mus musculus (house mouse). RNAcentral's name for it is "oocyte_clustered_small_RNA3960". The record is from RNAcentral. Lineage: Eukaryota; Metazoa; Chordata; Mammalia; Rodentia; Muridae.